CCCAGACAGCCAGGAUGUUGGCUUAGAAGCAGCCAUCAUUUAAAGAAAGCGUAAUAGCUCACUGGUCGAGUCGGCCUGCGCGGAAGAUGUAACGGGGCUAAACCAUGCACCGAAGCUGCGGCAGCGACACUGUGUGUUGUUGGGUAGGGGAGCGUUCUGUAAGCCUGCGAAGGUGUCCCGUGAGGGAUGCUGGAGGUAUCAGAAGUGCGAAUGCUGACAUAAGUAACGAUAAAGCGGGUGAAAAGCCCGCUCGCCGGAAGACCAAGGGUUCCUGUCCAACGUUAAUCGGGGCAGGGUGAGUCGACCCCUAAGGCGAGGCCGAAAGGCGUAGUCGAUGGGAAACAGGUUAAUAUUCCCGUACUUGGUGUUACUGCGAAGGGGGGACGGAGAAGGCUAUGUUGGCCGGGCGACGGUUGUCCCGGUUUAAGCGUGUAGGCUGGUUUUCCAGGCAAAUCCGGAAAAUCAAGGCUGAGGCGUGAUGACGAGGCACUACGGUGCUGAAGCAACAAAUGCCCUGCUUCCAGGAAAAGCCUCUAAGCAUCAGGUAACAUCAAAUCGUACCCCAAACCGACACAGGUGGUCAGGUAGAGAAUACCAAGGCGCUUGA
RNAcentral lists this ribosomal RNA (607 nucleotides) under Salmonella enterica subsp. enterica serovar Kentucky. RNAcentral describes it as "partial 23S ribosomal RNA". It matches the Rfam family "Bacterial large subunit ribosomal RNA", at positions 1084 to 1693 of the family's 2925-position model. Lineage: Bacteria; Pseudomonadati; Pseudomonadota; Gammaproteobacteria; Enterobacterales; Enterobacteriaceae. The record is from RNAcentral.